This is a long non-coding RNA of Prosopis cineraria, 912 nucleotides long. RefSeq lists it as uncharacterized. The transcript has 2 exons. The record is from RefSeq and is a predicted model, not a curated record. Lineage: Eukaryota; Viridiplantae; Streptophyta; Magnoliopsida; Fabales; Fabaceae.
UCACCCUUCAAACUUUAAAACCAAAUCAUCCAAUGUCCUGUCAUUAAAUCCAAUUAAGUUUGACUGUUAAAUUAUUUUGGUUGAUUAAAAUUUGACACUUGGUAGUCCUUGUCUGCUUAGAUAUUCCACCUCAGCCGAAGUGUACACUUGCCACCUCAUCUUCCCCCUUCACCGUCAGCUCUUCUCUCGCCCUUAUAUCUUCCUCCUCUCUCCCGUAUCUAUCUCGAUUUCCAUCAAACCCACACAAGGAGUCCUCAAUACACAUCUCAUACGGAUUUGGAUGAUGUUGAAUUGGAGAAGGAGAAGAAUAGAAAAAGAAGGAGAUGAGGAAAGAAACAGAGGGAAGUGCUCCAUCAUCGCGACCAACAUCAACUCCAUCAUCUUCGAUCUUCAAAUCUAGAGUCUUCCUAAUCCACUUCCAUCUUUAUCCUUUAUGUUUGUUUGUCACAUCUGACAAAUGGGGCUAAGGAAGGAGGAGUGGCAGUGAUAGUGGCUUCAUUGUUGGCAAUGGACAGGGGGAGGUUGGGUUUGAUUCCUUUGUCUUGGCUCCUCUGGCUCUACCCAUUGAUGACGAUAAUGAUGGUGACCAAAUCCUCAACUCCAACAAAUUCCCCUUCAUCGCCAUCGAGUUCGACACAUGGCAUAAGAUCUUGUAUAAACUUUGACUUUUCUGGGUUUUUGGCCUUUGAUGAGGCCUUGAUUUGAUUCAAUUUUUUGUUUCCAGGUUCGAUUGAUUCAAGUCAUUUUUUUGGGUUUGAUUUCUAGGUUUCUGUGAGUUCAAGUUCACUGAUUACUUUUAUGGAUUUAUGGGCUCGAGUCUUUCUCUUUUCCCUGACUGUUGGGUUUUGAUUCUUUCUUUCUUUUUCCCUUGACUGUGUUCAACUGAAAUGAAAUAUGAUUCUUUUGAUGUUU